AGAAGAGAAAAACAAAACAUUCUAGAUAGUGUCUGGAAUUAUUUGUCUGCUCUGUACUAAGCUAUGUACAAAUAAAGACCACUGGGCAAAAGAAAUCCUGGCGUCAAUUUCUCCUCUGCACGGUGAAGAGUCACUGGCAUUAACAGGAGGAAAAGGCACACAAAUUAAUAUUUGUGGGGCAUUACAGAAGAGACGCAUCCUUUCCCCGAGGAGGAAGACCACAAAGCC
Molecule: non-coding RNA, 228 nt
Organism: Heterocephalus glaber (naked mole-rat)
Lineage: Eukaryota; Metazoa; Chordata; Mammalia; Rodentia; Bathyergidae
Source: RefSeq, a predicted model, not a curated record